Molecule: ribosomal RNA, 491 nt
Filed under: uncultured bacterium
Lineage: Bacteria
Description: partial 16S ribosomal RNA
Rfam family: Bacterial small subunit ribosomal RNA
Source: RNAcentral
CUUUCCCUCUUUCUUUAGGCCUAACACAUGCAAGUCGAACGGCAGCACAGUAAGAGCUUGCUCUUACGGGUGGCGAGUGGCGGACGGGUGAGGAAUACAUCGGAAUCUACUUUUUCGUGGGGGAUAACGUAGGGAAACUUACGCUAAUACCGCAUACGACCUACGGGUGAAAGCAGGGGAUCUUCGGACCUUGCGCGAUUGAAUGAGCCGAUGUCGGAUUAGCUAGUUGGCGGGGUAAAGGCCCACCAAGGCGACGAUCCGUAGCUGGUCUGAGAGGAUGAUCAGCCACACUGGAACUGAGACACGGUCCAGACUCCUACGGGAGGCAGCAGUGGGGAAUAUUGGACAAUGGGCGCAAGCCUGAUCCAGCCAGACCGCGUGGGUGAAGAAGGCCUUCGGGUUGUAAAGCCCUUUUGUUGGGAAAGAAAAGCAGCAGGUUAAUACCCCGCUGUUCGGACGGUACCCAAAGAAUAAGCACCGGCUAACUGCGU